GAUCCUGGCUCAGGACGAACGCUGGCGGCGUGCUUAACACAUGCAAGUCGAACGGAGCACCCCUUGAUUGAGGUUUCGGCCAAAAUGAUAGGAAUGCUUAGUGGCGGACUGGUGAGUAACGCGUGAGGAACCUGCCUUUCAGAGGGGGACAACAGUUGGAAACGACUGCUAAUACCGCAUGACGCAUUUUGAUCGCAUGGUCGAAAUGCCAAAGAUUUAUCG
RNAcentral lists this ribosomal RNA (222 nucleotides) under uncultured bacterium. RNAcentral's name for it is "partial 16S ribosomal RNA". It matches the Rfam family "Bacterial small subunit ribosomal RNA", at positions 15 to 217 of the family's 1533-position model. The record is from RNAcentral.